Molecule: non-coding RNA, 875 nt
Organism: Phasianus colchicus (ring-necked pheasant)
Lineage: Eukaryota; Metazoa; Chordata; Aves; Galliformes; Phasianidae
Source: RefSeq, a predicted model, not a curated record
UUGUGGCCAGGGAGAAAAUACGUAUGACUGGUUUAUGCCUUGCCACCCUGAAUUGUAAUGCUUUGUUUAUUAUGACUUUGGGCAUGUUUUAUUGGUGAGCAGAGAGGUCACAGCCUCACAUAGAGAACCUGUAUUUGUGCUUUAUGGGUUCUGGGAUUUGAAACCACAGGCAGUCACUGAACUUUGGGCUGCCUUAGGUAAUGGCGUGCUGUGACCAAGUGGCUGGACAGGAUCUCUGCUGUGCUCUACCUGAUGGGAUAGAAGUGUGACACUGGUCUGGGACCCAAGGCUUCUGACAGAAGAGGGAAAGAAAAGGGAGAAGACAGCUGAAGGUGAGCCAAAGGACAAGAUUGCCCUGCUGACCCUAUAGGGGCAGGUAUAUGUUCCUUCCGUGGCUUCUCGAGCUGUGGUCUGUGGAGUAGGAAUAGCGCAUGAGGUCAUUCCUGCUGAUACCCACAAUGAAACAUUAGAAAAGCAUACGCGACAAUUGGGCAAUGCUCGGAGAUGUGCACAGCGCAGGGGAUGACAAUUUGCUGACCUGGACAGGGACCAAGUGUGUGUGUCCUGGUUGGGUGGCUGCAUAACGCUGCCAGCAUGUAUAUAUUAUCCAUCUCUCCCCACCCUGGCCUAACCCAGAUGCUGCAUGACUGAUUGUACCCCAGAGAAGCUCCAGCCUCUUCAGGUAAUUCAAUUGCUGAGUCUCCAAAACCAAUGAAUUAAAAAAAAAAAAACAACAAAACAACCUCUGCAUUGGGCUCUGCUCCCCUUGUAAUUAGUAGCAGAGCAGGGAACGAAGUGGGGUGUGGCGGGUCCAUGUGUUCCCAAUCACAGCCCACACAAUGAAAAUGUUUUCUUUCUGGGACAAUCUGAAGAAA